RNAcentral lists this ribosomal RNA (405 nucleotides) under uncultured Streptococcus sp. RNAcentral's name for it is "bacterial SSU rRNA". It matches the Rfam family "Bacterial small subunit ribosomal RNA", at positions 976 to 1382 of the family's 1533-position model. The record is from RNAcentral. Lineage: Bacteria; Bacillati; Bacillota; Bacilli; Lactobacillales; Streptococcaceae.
AGGUCUUGACAUCCCGAUGCUAUUUCUAGAGAUAGAAAGUUACUUCGGUACAUCGGUGACAGGUGGUGCAUGGUUGUCGUCAGCUCGUGUCGUGAGAUGUUGGGUUAAGUCCCGCAACGAGCGCAACCCCUAUUGUUAGUUGCCAUCAUUCAGUUGGGCACUCUAGCGAGACUGCCGGUAAUAAACCGGAGGAAGGUGGGGAUGACGUCAAAUCAUCAUGCCCCUUAUGACCUGGGCUACACACGUGCUACAAUGGUUGGUACAACGAGUUGCGAGUCGGUGACGGCGAGCUAAUCUCUUAAAGCCAAUCUCAGUUCGGAUUGUAGGCUGCAACUCGCCUACAUGAAGUCGGAAUCGCUAGUAAUCGCGGAUCAGCACGCCGCGGUGAAUACGUUCCCGGGUCUU